RNAcentral lists this unclassified non-coding RNA (384 nucleotides) under uncultured fungus. RNAcentral's name for it is "sequence contains ITS1". The stretch from base 1 to 106 matches the Rfam family "5.8S ribosomal RNA", at positions 50 to 154 of the family's 154-position model. Lineage: Eukaryota; Fungi. The record is from RNAcentral.
GAAAUGCGAUACGUGAUGUGAAUUGCAUACUCGUGAAUCAUCGAAUCUUUGAACGCAAAUGGCGCUCGGCCGCUUCGGUGUGCCGAGCAUGUCUGUUUGAGGGUCAGUUUCACCUGCUUCUCUUCCCGUUCCCCCAAUUUGUUUUGGGGGAGAAAGGAAAGAGAGACGAUGGGAUCUCACCGGGACGGAAACGGCCCUUCGGUGACUUCCUGAAACGCAUCAUUCUUUUUUUUCCAAAAAAGACGAAAGAAAAAAGACGAGUUCCGAGGUCCCGACCCUUUUUCGACGGGACCGAUCACAGCAAUGUGACCGGGCAAACCUUUUCUUCUAUCCAAAAAUUAUUAAAAUGACCUCAAAUCAGGCAAGAGCACCCGCUGAACUUAA